Non-coding RNA from Bactrocera oleae (olive fruit fly), 639 nucleotides. Lineage: Eukaryota; Metazoa; Arthropoda; Insecta; Diptera; Tephritidae. The record is from RefSeq and is a predicted model, not a curated record.
UCUUUAUUACUUUAAUAUGAAGAAAAAGUAAUUUGCAUAAUUCAAAAGUGUUGAUUUAGGCAUGGAAGACAAAUAACGUACUGGGCAGCCAGAAAAGUAUGAAGAUGAAGAACUGGAAGUAUUCCUAAAUGAAGCAGCCGUUUCAACGUUUUAAAGUUUAAAAGCGACCGGUUACAUUCAAAAGCGAGAGGGUUGAGUGUCACAUGAAUUGAAACCAAGAAACGUUAAAGGAUGACUUUGAAUGUCAGAAAUGCUGUUUGAAUGCUAAAAAGGAGUCGUUUUUACAUCGGAUUGUGACUGCUGAUGAAAAAUGGACUCAUUAUGACAACACUAAAUACAUAUGUGAAACCUGGACAAUGAGCCAAAUCAAUGUCAAAACCGAAUAUUUAUGACGUCAAAUUAAUGCUCUGUAUGUCAUUGUUUUGGACCGACAACAACUCAUCAAGUUGAAAUGAGCGAUUGCCGAAUAACGUCCGAAAUUAGCGACUAGACAUGAACGCCCUCAAUUUGAUAUAUUCGUCUUCGCCAAGCCGGCACAGUUCAAAGAUGAAAUCCACAAAUUGCGAGAAAUUGUAGUUUCAGCUGGGACUAUCAACGUAUUGCUAUAUGAAUAUCAAAUUGAAUGUGCAAAAAAAAAAA